RNAcentral lists this unclassified non-coding RNA (1625 nucleotides) under Hevea brasiliensis (rubber tree). Lineage: Eukaryota; Viridiplantae; Streptophyta; Magnoliopsida; Malpighiales; Euphorbiaceae. The record is from RNAcentral.
AAAAUUUGAAUUUUAAUAUUAUAUAUUAUGCGAAAAACAGAUAUUUAAUCAAUAGAUUAUUGACCAAUAAUUAAUAUAAGUAUAUUUAUAUAUGUGUAUGUCACUUCCACAUCCAAAAUAUAUAUAUUUUUUAAAGAAAUUAAACCUCCACCAUUUUCACGUUCACAUCUAUGUCUAUUUCACAUGCUUGGACUCGCCACUACUCUUCCUCUCCUUUUAACCACCGCUCCUCAGUUCUUUUUCUCUCGUCCCCAUCUCUCCCUCUGCCUCUCUUUUCUUUCUUUGGUGAAACCGAAAAAAGAAAAAUAAUCUAAUAAGAACUUUGUUUAUUUCAUUCUGUUUGUUUCAUGGCACUUCAUCAUCAUCAAUUCAUAUAGAAGAACACCAACCUUAUUAAAAGCGAUGAACAAUCUUCAAGAUUGGCCUGAACCAAUUGUUCGUGUUCAAUCCUUAUCAGAAAGCUGCCUUGAUGAAGUUCCUAAUCGAUAUAUCAAGCCACCGCUUGAAAGGCCAAGCAUAAAAUCUUCAUCUUCUUCUUCUUCUUUCGCAAGUGAUGAUGAUGUCAAUAUCCCUAUUGUUGAUCUUGGAGGUCUAUAUGGAAAAGAUGAUACUCUUCGCGCUUCAAUACUUGGCGAAAUUUCCAUAGCCUGUCACGACUGGGGAUUCUUCCAAGUUAUCAACCAUGGAAUUAAGCCUGAGUUGCUCGACCGAGGUCGCGAAAUAUGGAGAGAAUUCUUUCAUUUGCCGAUGGAGGAGAAGCAAAAAUAUGCAAAUUCUCCAAAGACCUAUGAAGGGUAUGGAAGCAGAUUAGGAGUAGAGAAAGGAGCCAUUCUUGAUUGGAGUGAUUACUACUUUCUUCACUAUCUUCCCUUGCCGUUAAAAGACUAUAAUAAAUGGCCUGCUCUCCCAUCUAAUUGCAGGGAAGUGAUUGAUGAAUAUGGUAGACAAGUUGUGGAGCUAUGUGGAAGGUUGAUGAAGGUGCUAUCAAUAAAUCUUGGGUUAGGAGAGAGACGUCUACAAGAUGCAUUUGGUGGUGAGAAUAUUGGGGCAUGUCUAAGAGUAAAUUUUUAUCCAAAGUGUCCACAACCUGAAUUGACCCUUGGUCUAUCAUCCCAUUCGGACCCUGGCGGCAUGACCCUUCUCUUGCCGGACGAUCAAGUCACCGGUCUUCAAGUCAGGCGAGGAAAUGAUUGGAUUACUGUGAAGCCAGCUCCACAUGCUUUUAUUGUAAAUAUUGGUGAUCAAAUUCAGGUAUUAAGCAAUGCAAUAUAUAGAAGUGUGGAGCAUCGAGUGAUUGUAAAUUCAGCAAAAGAACGUGUCUCACUUGCCUUCUUUUAUAAUCCAAAGGGUGAUAUACCCAUAGAACCAUUGAAGGAGCUUGUGACACCAGAGAGACCUUCAUUAUACCAAGCUAUGACUUUUGAUGAGUACAGACUUUUCAUUAGAACAAGGGGUCCCAAAGGCAAAUCGCAAGUGGAGUCUCUAAAAUCUCCAAGAUGAUGAAGAUAUUAUUUUAAGCUUUUGAUUUUAUUGUAAAUCAAUUGUAAACAAUCCCAUCAUUGCUUAUUAUUUGAGAUAAUUGCAUAUGUAUGUAAUCACGAGGGGAUUUGCCUAUAAGCCAUAAG